AUGCUGACUUUGGCAACACAUAUACUAAAAUUGGAACAAUACAGAGAAGACUAGCAUGGCCCCUGUGCAAGGAUGACACAGAAAUUCAUGAAGUAUUAUGUAUCAUU
This is a small nuclear RNA of Laticauda laticaudata (blue-ringed sea krait), 107 nucleotides long. Lineage: Eukaryota; Metazoa; Chordata; Lepidosauria; Squamata; Elapidae. The record is from Ensembl.